UAGGGAAUCUUCGGCAAUGGACGAAAGUCUGACCGAGCAACGCCGCGUGAGUGAAGAAGGUUUUCGGAUCGUAAAACUCUGUUGUUAGAGAAGAACAAGGACGUUAGUAACUGAACGUCCCCUGACGGUAUCUAACCAGAAAGCCACGGCUAACUACGUGCCAGCAGCCGCGGUAAUACGUAGGUGGCAAGCGUUGUCCGGAUUGAUUGGGCGUAAAGCGAGCGCAGGCGGUUUCUUAAGUCUGAUGUGAAAGCCCCCGGCUCAACCGGGGAGGGUCAUUGGAAACUGGGAGGCUUGAGUGCAGAAGAGGAGGGUGGAAUUCCAUGUGUAGCGGUAAAAUGCGUAGAUAUAUGGAGGAACACCAGUGGCGAAGGCGGCUCUCUGGUCUGUAACUGACGCUGAGGCUCGAAAGCGUGGGGAGCAAACAGG
RNAcentral lists this ribosomal RNA (429 nucleotides) under Gemmatimonadota bacterium. Its description in RNAcentral is "Gemmatimonadetes bacterium partial 16S ribosomal RNA". It matches the Rfam family "Bacterial small subunit ribosomal RNA", at positions 355 to 776 of the family's 1533-position model. The record is from RNAcentral. Lineage: Bacteria; Pseudomonadati; Gemmatimonadota.